Molecule: ribosomal RNA, 524 nt
Filed under: Gormaniella terricola
Lineage: Eukaryota; Viridiplantae; Chlorophyta; Chlorophyceae; Chaetopeltidales; Chaetopeltidaceae
Description: large subunit ribosomal RNA
Rfam family: Bacterial large subunit ribosomal RNA
Source: RNAcentral
GUUGGACACAUUGGACCCGAAGGGGGGCGAUCUAAUCAUGAGCAAGCUGAAGCUAGAGUACAAUCUAGUGGAGGGCUAUAGCGGUGAUUGUGGCAAAAAUCUCGUGUGACUUGUGAUUAGGAGUGAAAGGCUAAUCAAGCUCUCGAAUAGCUGGUUUUUUGUGAAAUUUAUUAAGGUAAAGCGAUUAGCAGAACUACUUUUUGGUAGAGUCACGUGCUGUGGGGCGAGGGGCGCUGAGCUUUUCAAACCAUGGCAAACUCCGAAGAAAAAAGUAAGAACAAUGUUAGUCAGUCAGACUAUGGGCGCCAAGGUUCGUAGUCAAGAGGGAAACAGCCCAGAUUAGCAGAUAAGGCUUCUAAGUGAUAACCCAGUGGAAAAAGCAUUAUUAGAGCACAGAUACCCGAGAGAUGGUCUUGGAAGCAGACACACUCUAUAGAAAGCGUAUUAGCUCAUCGGUGAAGCUCUAAUGAGCCAUACAUAAGACGGAGCUUAAGUUAUCCGCCGAAUCUCUAAACAAAAAUACA